GUGCUCGCUUCCGCAGCAUGUAUACUAAAAUUGGAACCAUACAGAGAAGGUUAACACGGAUCCUAAGUCAGGAUGGCACACACACAAAACAAAACAAAACAAAAAAC
Small nuclear RNA from Neogale vison (American mink), 107 nucleotides. NCBI's taxonomy places the organism in Eukaryota, Metazoa, Chordata, Mammalia, Carnivora, Mustelidae. The record is from Ensembl.